RNAcentral lists this long non-coding RNA (1354 nucleotides) under Marmota monax (woodchuck). Lineage: Eukaryota; Metazoa; Chordata; Mammalia; Rodentia; Sciuridae. The record is from RNAcentral.
GGACGUUUGGGCAGGAUCGUGAGUUCAAAGCCAGCCUCAGCAAUUUAGCAAGGCCCUAAGCAACUGAGACUCUGUCUCUAAACAAAAUAUAAAAAAAGACUGGGGCGGGGCUGGGGUUGUGGCUCAGUGGUAAAGUGCUCACCUAGCAUGCAUGAGGCACUAAGUUCGAUCCUCAGCACCACAUAAAUAUAAAAAUAAAGAUAUUGUGUCCACCCAAAACUAAAAAAUAAAUAUUAAAAAAAUUUAAAAAGGACUGGGGAUGUGGCUCAGUUGUUAAGUCCCCAUAGGUUCAGUCCCUGCCCCCCACAAAACAACAAAAAUCCCAGAUAUAUGUCAUCUUACUACCGACCUCCACCUGUGAGAAUGUACCCACCAGUCUGCAUCUCCUAUAUAGUUGUUCCUGAAUCAGCUUUCUGGCAAGAUGGUCCUUUAGGAUGAUCAUUUGCCAUCUUCCAAUCAGCUGGUUCUUCAUAAUAAAGUUCUUUCUCUUCCACUCCCUUGCCUCUGCACUGUCCCACUGACUCACCUGAGCAUUAGGAUGACAGUCCUUUAAAUGGACUCCCAUUUUAUCCAUCCCGUCCUGCACAUCACAAGGAGAUCCAUUUGAUGUGCCCUCUGAGCUCAAACUUCCCUGCUAAAGAAUCACCAAUGAUUCUCCACGGUCUACUGUAGCCUCUUCAUUUUGAUGUUAGUCCAGCUGUGGUCCCAACACUACUAUUUAUUUUACAACCCAUUCUUCUCCAGUUCAAAACAUUUCCAGGUAUGCCACAGGCCUUCCUGUGUCUCUGGUCUCAUCCUCGCAGGGUCUCCCUUCAACCCUGUUCAGCACAAAACCCAUCUUGCAAGCUAAAAAUUCAAAGAGGACAUGUUUGUGUUUGAGAACUUUGGUUUGUUUGAAUGUCACCAAUUGGAGUAUCAAAACCUCGUGGAGAGAUGAAGUAUUUAAACUAAGAAGACUGAGUUGUACUGGACUGUUUUAGGUCCCUUUAACAGCCAUUGACCAUCAGCUUUUGUGUCUGACCUAGCAUUUUUGUGUCUACAGGAUUAGCAUAUGCCACACUUGAGGGACCUCUGUCCUCUAUUAAAUCUUCAGGCUGGGAAGGAGAUAGCACCUGACUUCUGUAGGAAAUUUCCGUUUUUUUUUUUUUUUUUUUUUAAUUGAAAGCAUCUGAAUCUGGAAGAUUCCCCCUUUUUUAUGUAACUUGAUUACCUGAUGACCCUACCUACUUUGGGGGGAUUAUGAAAGACUUGCAUGAUUUCAUCAUGGAAGAACCAUGUCCUUGAGGGAAUCAUGUCCUUGGGGAGCUUGUAUUGUUAACUUGACUUUAUGUUCCCAAAGCAUGGUCAUUGGGCU